UACGUAGGGUGCGAGCGUUGUCCGGAAUUAUUGGGCGUAAAGGGCUCGUAGGCGGUCUGUCGCGUCGGUCGUGAAAACUCAGGGCUUAACCCUGAGCCUGCUUCCGAUACGGGCAGACUAGAGGUAUGCAGGGGAGAAUGGAAUUCCUGGUGUAGCGGUGAAAUGCGCAGAUAUCAGGAGGAACACCGGUGGCGAAGGCGGUUCUCUGGGCAUUACCUGACGCUGAGGAGCGAAAGUGUGGGGAGCGAACAGG
Molecule: ribosomal RNA, 253 nt
Filed under: uncultured bacterium
Lineage: Bacteria
Description: partial 16S ribosomal RNA
Rfam family: Bacterial small subunit ribosomal RNA
Source: RNAcentral